CGGACGGGUGAGUAACACGUGGAUAACCUACCAUAAGACUGGGAUAACUUCGGGAAACCGGAGCUAAUACCGGAUAAUAUAUUGAACCGCAUGGUUCAAUAGUGAAAGACGGUUUUGCUGUCACUUAUAGAUGGAUCCGCGCCGCAUUAGCUAGUUGGUAAGGUAACGGCUUACCAAGGCAACGAUGCGUAGCCGACCUGAGAGGGUGAUCGGCCACACUGGAACUGAGACACGGUCCAG
Molecule: ribosomal RNA, 240 nt
Filed under: uncultured Staphylococcus sp.
Lineage: Bacteria; Bacillati; Bacillota; Bacilli; Caryophanales; Staphylococcaceae
Description: partial 16S ribosomal RNA
Rfam family: Bacterial small subunit ribosomal RNA
Source: RNAcentral